ACAUGUACGGACGCCGCAGAGAUGUGGCUUCCCUUGUGGCUCGUAUACAGGUGGUGCAUGGUUGUCGUCAGCUCGUGUCGUGAGAUGUUGGGUUAAGUCCCGCAACGAGCGCAACCCUUGUCUUAUGUUGCCAGCACGUAAUGGUGGGGACUCGUGAGAAACUGCCGGGGUCAACUCGGAGGAAGUGGGAUGACGUCAAAUCAUCAUGCCCCUUAUGUCCAGGGCUUCACACAUGCUACAAUGGUCGGUACAGUGGGUUGCGAUACCGUGAGGUGGAGCUAAUCCCUUAAAGCCGGUCUCAGUUCGGAUCGGAGUCUGCAACUCGACUCCGUGAAGCUGGAUUCGCUAGUAAUCGCGCAUCAGCCAUGGCGCGGUGAAUACCGGUUCCCGGGCCUU
RNAcentral lists this ribosomal RNA (396 nucleotides) under uncultured Corynebacterium sp. RNAcentral describes it as "bacterial SSU rRNA". It matches the Rfam family "Bacterial small subunit ribosomal RNA", at positions 984 to 1382 of the family's 1533-position model. Lineage: Bacteria; Bacillati; Actinomycetota; Actinomycetes; Mycobacteriales; Corynebacteriaceae. The record is from RNAcentral.